Molecule: ribosomal RNA, 582 nt
Filed under: uncultured Roseateles sp.
Lineage: Bacteria; Pseudomonadati; Pseudomonadota; Betaproteobacteria; Burkholderiales; Sphaerotilaceae
Description: bacterial SSU rRNA
Rfam family: Bacterial small subunit ribosomal RNA
Source: RNAcentral
CGAACGGGUGAGUAAUGUAUCGGAACGUGCCCAGUCGUGGGGGAUAACUGCUCGAAAGAGCAGCUAAUACCGCAUACGACCUGAGGGUGAAAGCGGGGGAUCGCAAGACCUCGCGCGAUUGGAGCGGCCGAUAUCAGAUUAGGUAGUUGGUGAGGUAAAGGCUCACCAAGCCGACGAUCUGUAGCUGGUCUGAGAGGACGACCAGCCACACUGGGACUGAGACACGGCCCAGACUCCUACGGGAGGCAGCAGUGGGGAAUUUUGGACAAUGGGCGCAAGCCUGAUCCAGCCAUGCCGCGUGCGGGAAGAAGGCCUUCGGGUUGUAAACCGCUUUUGUCAGGGAAGAAAAGGUUCUGGCUAAUACCUGGGACUCAUGACGGUACCUGAAGAAUAAGCACCGGCUAACUACGUGCCAGCAGCCGCGGUAAUACGUAGGGUGCAAGCGUUAAUCGGAAUUACUGGGCGUAAAGCGUGCGCAGGCGGUUAUGCAAGACAGAGGUGAAAUCCCCGGGCUCAACCUGGGAACUGCCUUUGUGACUGCAUGGCUAGAGUACGGUAGAGGGGGAUGGAAUUCCGCGUGUA